GACAGAGGUGCCAAGCGUUAGGCGGAAUCACUGGGCUUAAAGCGUGUGUAGGCGGAAUUGUAAGUACCUUGUGAAAUCCCACGGCUCAACCGUGGAACUGCUUGGUAUACUGCUUUUCUUGAGCCACUUAGGGGCUACCGGAACAAAUGGUGGAGCGGUGAAAUGCGUAGAUAUCAUGUGGAACGCCAAUGGUGAAAACAGGUAGCUGGGAGUGUGCUGACGCUGAGACACGAAAGCCAGGGGAGCGAACGGG
This 253-nucleotide ribosomal RNA is filed under the name uncultured bacterium. RNAcentral's name for it is "partial 16S ribosomal RNA". It matches the Rfam family "Bacterial small subunit ribosomal RNA", at positions 524 to 776 of the family's 1533-position model. The record is from RNAcentral.